ACACCUCAACUCCCAUGGCUUGCCAUGACGAGCUUGGACUUUGGGGGUCUUGCUGGCCUGCGGUCGGCUCCUCUCAAAUGAAUCAGCUUGCCAGUGUUUGGUGGCAUCACAGGUGUGAUAACUAUCUACGCUUGUGGUUUUCCACCAGGUAACCUUCAGUGUUGGAGGUUCGCUGGAGCUCAUAAACGUCUCUCCUCGGUGAGGACAGCUCUUUGAAC
Molecule: unclassified non-coding RNA, 218 nt
Filed under: uncultured Tomentella
Lineage: Eukaryota; Fungi; Basidiomycota; Agaricomycetes; Thelephorales; Thelephoraceae
Description: sequence contains ITS2
Source: RNAcentral